CAGCCGCCGCGGUGAUACGUAGGGUGCGAGCGUUGUCCGGAUUUAUUGGGCGUAAAGAGCUCGUAGGUGGUUUGUUGCGUCGGGAGUGAAAACACACAGCUCAACUGUGUGCUUGCUUUCGAUACGGGCAGACUUGAGGGAUGUAGGGGAGAACGGAAUUCCUGGUGGAGCGGUGGAAUGCGCAGAUAUCAGGAGGAACACCGGUGGCGAAGGCGGUUCUCUGGACAUUUCCUGACGCUGAGGAGCGAAAGCGUGGGGAGCAAACAGGCUUAGAUACCCUGGUAGUCCACGCCGUAAACGGUGGGCACUAGGUGUGGGGGACAUUCCACGUUCUCCGUGCCGUAGCUAACGCAUUAAGUGCCCCGCCUGGGGAGUACGGCCGCAAGGCUAAAACUCAAAGGAAUUGACGGGGGCCCGCACAAGCGGCGGAGCAUGCGGAUUAAUUCGAUGCAACGCGAAGAACCUUACCUGGGUUUGACAUGCACCAGACGACAGCAGAGAUGUUGUUUCCUUCGGGCUGGUGUGCAGGUGGUGCAUGGCC
RNAcentral lists this ribosomal RNA (541 nucleotides) under uncultured archaeon. RNAcentral's name for it is "bacterial SSU rRNA". It matches the Rfam family "Bacterial small subunit ribosomal RNA", at positions 509 to 1050 of the family's 1533-position model. The record is from RNAcentral.